This 493-nucleotide ribosomal RNA is filed under the name uncultured bacterium. Its description in RNAcentral is "partial 16S ribosomal RNA". It matches the Rfam family "Bacterial small subunit ribosomal RNA", at positions 29 to 523 of the family's 1533-position model. The record is from RNAcentral.
AUUGAACGCUGGCGGCAUGCUUUACACAUGCAAGUCGAACGGUAACAGGUUAAGCUGACGAGUGGCGAACGGGUGAGUAAUGCAUCGGAACGUGCCCGAUCGUGGGGGAUAACGCAGCGAAAGCUGCGCUAAUACCGCAUACGAUCUGAGGAUGAAAGCGGGGGACCGUAAGGCCUCGCGCGAUCGGAGCGGCCGAUGUCAGAUUAGGUAGUUGGUGGGGUAAAGGCCCACCAAGCCGACGAUCUGUAGCUGGUCUGAGAGGACGACCAGCCACACUGGGACUGAGACACGGCCCAGACUCCUACGGGAGGCAGCAGUGGGGAAUUUUGGACAAUGGGCGAAAGCCUGAUCCAGCAAUGCCGCGUGUGUGAAGAAGGCCUUCGGGUUGUAAAGCACUUUUGUCCGGAAAGAAAUGGCUCUGGUUAAUACCUGGGGUCGAUGACGGUACCGGAAGAAUAAGGACCGGCUAACUACGUGCCAGCCGCCGCGGUAA